RNAcentral lists this ribosomal RNA (253 nucleotides) under uncultured bacterium. RNAcentral describes it as "partial 16S ribosomal RNA". It matches the Rfam family "Bacterial small subunit ribosomal RNA", at positions 524 to 776 of the family's 1533-position model. The record is from RNAcentral.
UACGUAGGGGGCAAGCGUUGUCCGGAUUUACUGGGCGUAAAGAGCGUGUAGGCGGCCAAGCAGGUCCGUUGUGAAAACUGGAGGCUUAACCUCCAGACGUCGACGGAAACCGCGUGGCUAGAGUCCGGAAGAGGAGAGUGGAAUUCCUGGUGUAGCGGUGAAAUGCGCAGAUAUCAGGAAGAACACCAACGGCGAAGGCAGCUCGCUGGGACGGAACUGACGCUAAGGCGCGAAAGCGUGGGGAGCGAACAGG